RNAcentral lists this ribosomal RNA (228 nucleotides) under uncultured bacterium. RNAcentral's name for it is "partial 16S ribosomal RNA". It matches the Rfam family "Bacterial small subunit ribosomal RNA", at positions 568 to 796 of the family's 1533-position model. The record is from RNAcentral.
UACGAAGGUGGAAUCUUAAGUCAGUUGUUAAAUAUUACGGCUUAACCGUGAUUUGCAAUUGAAACUGGGAUUCUUGAGUUUGAGAGGGGAUAGUGGAAUAUCUAGUGUAGCGGUGGAAUGCGUAGAUAUUAGAUAGAACACCUGAGGCGAAGGCGACUGUCUGGCUCAUAACUGACACUCAAGUACGAAAGCAUGGGUAGCGAACAGGAUUAGAUACCCUGGUAGUCC